AAACAUGGUUCCACGCAUUUUUGAACCCUAAUCUCGACCAGAACGCCUACAAUUCACCUCCUAUAACUUUUCUUUGGUUUUUGGCUCAAGAAAUUCAAGGAUAACUAAACCUAUUGGUGAAGCCACGAAGGAUCUUGCUCGAAUUUGGGGAUUUCGACCUUCUCUCAUGCAUGUAAUGUUAUUUAUGAUUUGAAAAAUAUUCUGGGAUUAAGAUUUCUAUUAUUCAUUGUAUUUUUGAUAUUUGCUUAACAUCUAUUGAAUGUUUCAUGGAUUCGACCAUGUAUUUUCCAUUGAAUAAUUAAAAUACUCGUUGAGUUUAAAUUUCAAUUGAUUUAAUGACGUGAUUCGAUUACUACCUUAUGCUUGAGGUAUAUUGUCGCCUCUUGAAUCUUGUUUCAAUAAGUAUAAACGGAAUGUGUUUUUAAGAAAUCUAAGUUCUAGAAUGACAAGUUCUAGGUUUCACUUCAUGAAUUGAUUUUGAAAUUGGUUUAAUUCCUAUUAGAUUUUUCAUAGAAUUAGUCAUUUUAUCAAAAUAUUUAUUGAACUUCAAUUUCAAAUAUGUCAUUGGGAGAUUAUUUACUUCCUUAUGCCUGUGUCUAUGGACGUUUCUUAAUCUUAUUUUAAUGAAUAAACGUGGGAAUGUAUUACAUGAAGCCUAGAUUUUUGAGUAAAAUGCAUGAAUAAGUGAUAUUAUUUGAACCAAAUUGAGCAAGUGAAUUCCGGUGCUUCACUAAUUUUCAUACAUUGAUAUUUACAUUUCAUUCAAACUGAUAAAUCCUUUACACAAACCACGAAGAAAACCCUUUAGCUAAUAGAUCCUUUAAACAAAUUUACAUCUUUUUGUGGAUACGACACCGCGAAGUUAUACAACAACCAUCGUGUUAUACUUUGGGCGUAAUCAAAUUUUCGCACUAUUGCCGGGGAGACAGUACUAAUAAUUGAAGGAUUCUCGAGCAAAAGGGUGACUUCGUUCUUUUUUUUUUUUACAUUCUUUUAGUUAGUUUAGUUUAUUUUCUUAAUUAUUUUGUUAUUUCUCAUUUACUUUUAUUUUUUUGAACAGAGAUCGGGAAGAGCGGGGACAAUUCAUUGCAAGGCCGCAACCAGUAUUUGAAUCUCUUCCUAACCCUCUCUUUAAUACUGAAUCAGUUGACACACACAUCACAACACACAACACAAUGACUGAUAGUAAACAUAGAAAGACACCAACUAGGACUUUGCAUGAUUACCUUCACCCAACACACACUUCCACGCCAUCUUGCAUUAUGUUCCCACCCAAUAUGCCACGCAUGGAUCUAAAAUCGGGAAUGACUCAACUUCUUCCCAUUUUUCACGGACUUGAAAAUGAGAAUCCAUACGUGCAUAUUCUAGAAUUUGAAGAAGUGGUUACAAUCUUUCACAAUCAACGAUGUACAAUGAAUACAAUCAGGCUUAAAUUUUUCCCAUUUUCACCUAAAGAACGAGCAAAAAGCUAGUUGUACUCAUUGAAAUCACGUUCGAUUGGGACUUGGGUUGAAAUGACUCAAGCAUUCUUUGAUAAGUACUUUCCCCACCACAAAACAAUUGCAUUGAAAAAGCAAAUCUCUUCUUUUACUCAAAAGGAGAGUGAAACUUUAUAUUAAGCGUGGGAAAGGUACAAAGAAUUGCAAGCUCUCUGUCCCUACCACGGUUAUGAAAGUUGGUGCAUUGUGAGAUAUUUUUAUGAGGGAUUAUCACCUAGGGAGCGCCAAUUUGUUGAAAUGAUGUGCAAUGGUGAAUUUUUGCAAAAAGAUCCGGAUGAGGCUAUAGACUACUUAGAUGACUUAGCUGAGAAAGCCCAUACAUGGAUUGGACCUAGUGCUUCUGCUAGUACUAAUAGGUCACGACCAAUAGGAAACCCAACUAGCAUAGGCAUUUACUAUCUUAGAGAGGAAGACAACCUUAGAGCUAAGGUAGAAUCUCUCGCUAGAGAAAUUGAAGCUCUACGUGCUAAGGAAUAAAAAACAACCAGACCUAUUUCCCAUGUUGAGCCUUCAGAGCCUUGUUUUAUGUGUGGAGAGAGUGAUCACCUGGCACAAGAAUGUGCCACUUAUGCUGAGAUGAGGGGACUUUAUGAGGAACACUGUAAUGCUUUAGGCAUAUAUCAAAAACCUUAUACUCCCUACUCCGAAUCCUAUAAUCUAGGGUGGCGGAAUCACCCCAAUCUCACUUGAAAAUUUGAAAACCAAAAACCUGUCCAAUUCCAUAGAGCUUACAAUGCACCUUUACAUCAACCCACAUCCUCUAGAAAUUCCUUAGAAGAUACUUUACAUACAUUUAUUCAGGCACAUGGUAAAACAAAUAAAAAAUUUGAGGCUAUGAUUGACCAGUUAGUUAAGGAAAAUAAAGAAAUCAAAACUCAUAUGUCCAAACUAACUAACGCCUUAGCUGUAGGGAAGCGGGGAAAUUUCCAACACAAGCUCAACCAAACCCUAGAGGAUAGCAUAUCGCGCAAACCUCGGGCUUCAGAGAAAACAACCUUAAGGAAGUUAAUGCUAUAACUACUCGGUUCGGUAAGGUUAUUGAACCAACCCCCAAACCUAGGGAAAUUGAAAAGGUGCCUAGCAAUACAGAAGAGAGAACCCCUAACGAGGAGGUGGUGAAAAAUCCAUCUAGAGUGUCAUUCCCUCAAGCACUUAAAUCUACCUCGAAAUUCGUCGGGCAACAUAGUGAACUCCUAGAGCAUCUUAAACAAGUAAAAAUCAAUCUGGCACUCUUGCACGUGAUUUCCUAGGUCCCUACAUAUGCUAAAGUCCUUAAGGAUUUGUGUACUAUAAAAAGAAAGCACCAUGUCAAGAAAAUCGCUUUCUUAACGGAACAUGUGAGUGCCGUAAUCGAACAAAAAGUCCCGUCAAAGUAUAAAGACCCUGGUUGUCCUAUUGUUUCUUGUGUCAUAGGGAACCAUGAGAUUUCACAAGCUCUUCUCGACUUAGGGGCUAGUAAAAAUAUCAUGCCUUAUGCUAUAUACUUGGCGUUAGGCCUAGGUGAGAUCAAACCUACUUCUGUGGUCCUGUAAUUACCUAAUCGAUCUACCAUUAGACCUAAGGGAGUAGUUGAGGAUGUAUUGGUACAAAUUGACAAAUUUUGCUACUCCAUGGAUUUCUUGGUAUUGGACUUGAAAGUUGAUGUGAAUGUCAACUCCAAAGUUCCCAUUAUUCUUGAUAGACCUUUUUUUGCCAUAGCUAAUGCUCUUACUAAUUGUAGGAAUGGUCUAAUGAAACUAUCAUUUGGGAACAUGACCCUGGAGACGUCAACAUCUUUCACAUCAUGAAGCAACUUGAGGAGGAUGACGAGUGUCAUUAAAUAUUCAUGAUUGAUGCACUCGUUCAGGAGGAAGCACCUGCGAUUAUUGAUCCCAACCCUUUAAAUUCUUUCUUUUUAAAUUUUGAAAUUCCCACAGGGUACGAUAAUGGAGAAUAUGCUGAUAUUUGUGUUACUUUUGAUUAUUUUCAGUAUUAUGGGACACCAUCGGUGAUCAUUUCCACUGAGCUUGGUGCAAUGCAAAGAGUGUUAACAAUGCCCUAGUUGGAUGUGGGCUGAAAAACGCAAUAUUGGGUCAAGCUAACGAUAAGAAACAAAGGCGCUGCUUAGGAGGCAACCCAAGGGAAAUUCUUUUUCCCUCUCUUUCUUUUCUUAUUUUUACAUUGUUUUUAGGUUUAUUUUUAUCACAUGCAUUAUUUAUUGCAUUUUUAGGUUAUUUACAUUACAUGCAUUAUUCACUGCAUUUUAGUUUAUUUUCAUUUUCUGCAUUACCCUUUUCAAUGAGUACUUUUAGGCUUAUUACACUUCAGUUUAUGUUGAUUCACUUCGAUAUUCAGGUGACGUUUUUCCUUACUUUUAUUUGGUGGACAUGUUUGUUUGCAAUGUUUAGUUUGGGGGGGGGGGAGUGUAUUUGAAAUUUUCUUGUGAAUUGCAUACUUUACAUGAAAUUUUGGUCUAAUUUUUUUUAAGUUCCUAAUUGCUACUAGACCACUAAGAAUUAAUAUUAUUCAUGAAAAUUUGGAUAUUGAGACAUUUGCUGAAUCCUUUUGUACACACAAGUCUUGUGAAAAGAUAGUGGUUUAACACAUGUAGCUAGAUGAGUCUCUAGUUGAGAUUUUCUUAUGUGAGAGUGGUGAGGAUUGAGAGCUAUCACAUAUUAAAAAUGGCAAUAAGCAUUCAUUGGUUUUGUGAAUUGGAAACUUCUUUUGAGAAUAAGAUUACAUGGUUUGUGGUACUUGAGAAAUGAUAACAGUCAAUUUAGGAUUGAAUUUGAGCCUUCAGACUAGUUCUUUUCCAUAAUUAUAAUUCCCUAGUAGCCACUUUGAGCCAAUGCACAUUCAUAACAGUUUCUUUUCAUGUGCCUAAGUUAUCCAUACCUUCUUACAUUGGAUUAAAUUCUAUAAAUAGUCAUUUUUCUACCUUUAUGCUUCCAAGUUUAUAGUAGGUGUUAAAUGUCCAUUUGAGAAGAAAAGUAAUGAGGAAAGUGAUAAGAGAUGACAAGUACUCGGGUGAGAAGAGAAAACACAAAAGGAAAGGGAAUUGAAAAAAAAACAGAAAAAAAUGAAAAAAGAAGAAGAGAGAGAGUGGAUUGUUGUUGGGAAUUGAAAGGUUGAGGAAUGCGUUGAUGUAAAGGAUUGCUAUGUUGAAAUACUUGUUGAGAUGUCUAGCUAGAUACUUGGAAGUUCUUAAAUUCUUUUUACCAUACUUUUCAUAUAACCCAACUUAACCCCUUUCAUACCCUUUGCAUUGACUGUUUUGAUCUCAAGUCGAUUUGUGGUAAGAAGUUGAUGAAUUCUUUUUUGAAAGUAUGCCUAUCAUGUGUUCAAUAUUUGCUUGUUGCUUGUUCAUAAAUAUUUAAGCAUCCAUGUUUCAAGUGUGCAUCUUUCCAAGCUCCAUAGAGAGAAACUCCGCACUAAACACUUUAAUACACGUGAGUUAUAGGGCCAGACCUUUAGCUAGAGACACACUCGACGUUGCAUGUGAUAGGGUUGGCGGUAAGAUAGCUAUGGCUUGACACACACUUACAAAUUUAGCAAGUGUUUUUGAUAUCUUGAUGAUCAUAACAUUGUUAAUUUCUUGUGGUGUUGAGUUUGAAAAGAUAAUGAACUGCAGUUGAAUUGGAACUCAACAACUUCACUUGUAAUAUGAAUCAAUUACUCAUUUGUUUUGUUCUGCAUUAAAUUGCUAGGGACUAGCAAUAAACAAGUUGGGGGUGUGAUAAGAGUGUAAAAUAUGAUAUUUUUCCUUCUUAAUUAUUGCAUUCAUUUGAUUAUAUUAUGCCAAAAAUGCACUCAUUACUCCUAUAUUUUGGCUUAGGUUGCAUUUUGAUGGAAAAGAUGAAAUUCGGAAGAAAUAAGUGAAAAAUGACCAAAGUAGAAGAAAACGAAAGUUUGGGGACUAAAGUGCAAAUAGUACAAACUUGUGUCUAAGCUUAUGACGAAGAUUCAAAAGUGUUAGAGGUCAAGUGGAUGAAGAAAGAAGUCAAAGGAAUGAAAUAACGUCAAAGUUUGAUCAUACUUCAAUUCACAAUCGAAAAAGUUACGCACCAAUUUUUAGUCUCAUAUUGGGACGCAUUUUUGACAUAGAAUAUGAUUGAAUUUAAAGAUGAUUUCUGAAGUGAAGUUUUAGCCCUUUGAGUUAUCUGUUAAAUGCAACUUGAAUCACCUUAAUCAGACAUCAGGAGAGAAAGUUAUGGCUAAAAUAUUGAAAGCUGUCCGGCAGAAAAAAUGGAUUGAAACAUGUGGUCGCAUGGUUAUAAAUCCAUGCCGCCACAUGUAUGCCUCUCGAGAAUUCCAAGACCCAAAUGGCUUGCACCAUGCGACCGCAUUGCUUAUAACCAUGUGGUCGCAUGGUUAUUCCUUAAGGUCAAAAUUUCUGUUUCCUUAAUUGACUCAAUCACUUAUGGAAACAUGGUUCCUACACUUUUUAAACCCUAAUCUUGACUAGAACUUCUACCAUUAACCUCCUAUCACUUUUUUUUUUAAUUUUUGGCUCAAGAAAUCCAUGGAGAACUAAACCUAUUGGUGAAGCCACGAAGGAUCUUGCUCGAAUUUGGGGAUUUCAACCUUCUCUCAUACAUGCAAUGUGAUGUGAUCUAUGUUUUGAAAAAUAUUCUAGGAUUAAGACUUCAAUUGUUCAUUGUAUCUUUGAUAUUUGCUUAACUUCUAUUGAAUGUUUCAUGGAUUCGACCAUGUCUUUUCCAUUGAAUAAUUAAAAUACUUGUUGAUUUUAAAUUUCAAUUGAUUUAUUUGACG
This 6251-nucleotide long non-coding RNA is filed under the name Olea europaea (common olive). RNAcentral's name for it is "long non-coding RNA (OEUR_LNC003071)". The record is from RNAcentral. Lineage: Eukaryota; Viridiplantae; Streptophyta; Magnoliopsida; Lamiales; Oleaceae.